CUGCAGGCUAUGAGCACUCCAGGUAAUGAUUUAAACAUGUCCUUCAUACUUCCAUAUUUUCAACUUUUAACAGCACUGUGCAGGGCCUGCCCCAUUCAUGUCACCUUUUGAUCUCCGUGCUGCCACACAGGCUUCCCUCCCUGCCCCUUGAAAAGCUUUUUCUAACUGCAGCUGAGACCUUGGCUCCAACAACAAGCCUAAGAUCUGUAAGAUUUCUCCUGCUUCGUAAGAGGAGACAAUGCUAUAAGAGAGCACAUAAGGGAUACUGCCUUGGCUCAUAGCAGUUACAUAAAGGAGGAGGAAUGGGGAGGAACCAUGUUACCAGGCAGCACCUGCAACAGGUAGAGCUCCUAUUUGUACUAUAACUCUUUCCAUACUGGCCAAGUGGUCUUUCAGCUGCUGAGUCUGUGCUCCAAACAGAGUUUCCUUGAAAAUGAGCAAGGUUCAGCUCAAGCCUCAAAAUUCCAAAGAGCAUGGAUUGUCUAAGUCUGAAAGUGCUCAAUGUGUGAGACAUGACAGGUCACACUGUACUUCAGUAAAGUCCUGGAUCAUUGCACUUGACUUCCAGCUUAUUACCCAGUGUGUCUCUGACUAAGAGGAGAAUAAUUUCCUUAUCACCACGUGUGGUGUCAUUGGGAAUUGGAUUUCCUGUUCCAUCAGCAACACUUCGCAGUCUCAAAGGAGAGGAUUGUCUUUAUAUUUUAGUGUCUUUUGCAAUACAGACUUCCCUCUUUCUUUUACAGAGGGGUGUACAGCAAAUGUGUCAGCAAAUUGCAAAAGGGCUGUCUGUGGGUGUGGUUUCAGUAAGCCCCCUUGAUAAACAUGGAACCCUUCCUAGACACUUCUCUGCAGCCAAAGAUUUAAAUAUUAAAAUAAAUAUAUUUAAUGACUCAAUGGUGUUCUUCUUCAUGGAUGUGAAUUUUCCUUUAAACGCCAGAGAGAGCUGAGAGAAGAGCCAAGUGGCUUGAAUCAUGAUAACCAUGUUGCCAGUAAAAGGCGAGCUGUAUGUUUUGAUUGGCAAAGGCACUAAGGAACGUACCAGCUGUGAAUUAUUUCUUCUCCCUGAAUAAAGGUGUUUGCAGGACAUCUAAAAAUAAAGUCAAAUUAUCUUCGGCUGAUAAUGAUAAGAAAGUUGAGGAAAAUAUUGAAAAGAGCUGAGAAAAGUCCAGAAUGAUCUCCAUCAUGAUGUUUAAAAUUAUGCACAAUUACCAUCUAUAGUCAAGUUACAGACUGCUCUACACAUCUCUGAGGAAGAGGGAGUGGAUGAACCUGAAUGAGGACAACGACUCAGGAAAACCUACACCAUUCUCCUGACAUAGUCAAUAUUAGAUUUUCUAAAGAAGACUGUGUAUGUGGGGGAAAGCUGUGAAAUAGCACUCUUUGUAAAUUAUGGAAAAUCUUAGUCAAGGCAUGGAAGUUGGAGAUGCAAAGAUCUUGUUAAUCCAUCUUAUUCAGAUUUAUCACUGCAGAAGGGCCCUCUCGUGAUAUUUUCUAGUGGUUCAUCUAGCCUCACUUCAGUUCCUAUCUACAAGGUUAUUACUUUUGCUUUUUAGGAAUAAUGAUUAUACAAAGUGGGAAUUCAGGCUUAACUGCUAAGAAGUGGAAAUUUAUUGCAUCAG
Molecule: long non-coding RNA, 1619 nt
Organism: Neopelma chrysocephalum (saffron-crested tyrant-manakin)
Lineage: Eukaryota; Metazoa; Chordata; Aves; Passeriformes; Pipridae
Exons: 3
Source: RefSeq, a predicted model, not a curated record